This 494-nucleotide ribosomal RNA is filed under the name uncultured bacterium. Its description in RNAcentral is "partial 16S ribosomal RNA". It matches the Rfam family "Bacterial small subunit ribosomal RNA", at positions 28 to 507 of the family's 1533-position model. The record is from RNAcentral.
GACGAACGCUGGCGGCGUGCUUAACACAUGCAAGUCGAACGGAAAGGCCUGCUUUCCCUUGUGGAUUGCGGGUACUCGAGUGGCGAACGGGUGAGUAACACGUGAGUGAUCUGCCCCCAACUUGGGUAUAAGCCUGGGAAACUGGGUCUAAUUCCCGAUAGGACUGCAGGGUGGUGCCUGUGGUGGGAAACGAUUUUCUAGUGGUUGGGGAUGAGCUCGCGGCCUAUCAGCUUGUUGGUGGGGUAAUGGCCUACCAAGGCGGCGACGGGUAGCCGGCCUGAGAGGGUGGACGGCCACAUUGGGACUGAGAUACGGCCCAGACUCCUACGGGAGGCAGCAGUGGGGAAUAUUGCACAAUGGGCGGAAGCCUGAUGCAGCGACGCCGCGUGGGGGAUGACGGCCUUCGGGUUGUAAACUCCUUUCGACCGCGAGGAAGCCACCUGGUUGGAAGGGUGGUGACGGUAGUGGUAGAAGAAGCACCGGCUAACUACGUG